GCCCCCGUAGCUCAGCGGAAGAGCAGCACCCUUCUAAGGCGUUGGUCGCUGGUUCGAAUCCAGCCGGGGGCA
RNAcentral lists this transfer RNA (72 nucleotides) under Tsukamurella tyrosinosolvens. Its description in RNAcentral is "tRNA_Arg_TCT". It matches the Rfam family "tRNA". From Rfam's summary of the family: Transfer RNA (tRNA) molecules are approximately 80 nucleotides in length. Their secondary structure includes four short double-helical elements and three loops (D, anti-codon, and T loops). The record is from RNAcentral. Lineage: Bacteria; Bacillati; Actinomycetota; Actinomycetes; Mycobacteriales; Tsukamurellaceae.